Crotalus tigris (Tiger rattlesnake) is the source of this 7188-nucleotide long non-coding RNA. RefSeq lists it as uncharacterized. NCBI's taxonomy places the organism in Eukaryota, Metazoa, Chordata, Lepidosauria, Squamata, Viperidae. The record is from RefSeq and is a predicted model, not a curated record. The transcript is spliced from 2 exons.
UAUCCAUCUAUCUAUCUAUCUAUCUAUCUAUCUAUCUAUCUAUCUAUCUAUCUAUCUAUCUAUCUAUCUAUCUAUUGAACUGAUAUAGCCAUCCAUCUCAGAUACAUAUCUGAGUGGCUCAUACAAUUAAAAAAUAAAAACAAUAGUUGUAAGCAAACAACUAAAAUAAAAAACAUUCAAAACCAAUUAAAACAAUACAGAACCAUAAAUAUUUGUGGGAGAGUACAAUUCAUACAACUGCUAACAAUAGAACCGUCUGACAGGCUCCAUACCACCUUUGGAUCUCCAGACAUGAUGACAAAACCAUGUCUUCAUGGCCUUCUGAAAAGCCAGCAGGAUUGGGGACAUUUCAGUUGGGAGGGGAAUAAGGGGCCACGAAAUACUGUUCCAGAGGGUGGGUGCUGCAGCAGAAAAGAUUCUCCUCAUAGACAUCCACCUUGGUUUUUGAUAUAUCUUAACUGUUACUAUACACUCUCCUACUGCAAAGCACUCCAAAUUCACAUUAUUCACUGUAUUAUAUGCUAUAAAUCAACACAUGUAGAAUAAAAUUCCUUCUCACAUUCAAAUGUUUUUCAAUGACCUGCUGAAGAGCUUAGAGAUAUGCUGGCUCAGGAAUUCUGGGAGUUGAAGUCCAUAAGUCAAAAAAGAGCCAAGGUUGUCUACCCCUGGCUUAGAGCAUAAAGCCACACUAAUUCCAUUUUAAUCAUUUUUUCAUAUCCUUUUAAUCAGAAUUCUGUCACACACCUUCCCGAGUACACUUAAACCAAUCCCCAAUACCUUUUGUAUUUAUUUAUUUAUUUAUGAGACUUAUAUACCGCUUUAAGUGCAAGCACUCUCUAAGCGGUGUACACCAGUAAGCAAUGUAUAUAUAUAUUUACAUUGCCCCCCUCAUUUUACCUACCCCGGAAGGAUGGAAGGCUGAGUCAACCUUGAGCCGGUGAGAUUUAAUCGCAAAUUAUUUGGAAAUGUGUCUUACUAAAACCAGUAUACUUAUAAACAAUACCAUAAACGUUAAGAGUGCAAUUUUUGUAAUUUACUCUUCCUAUUUUUCCCUGUAUAUCUACGGGUAUAUUAAUGUCAUCCAUCCCAUUCUCAGGGAUGGAUGCAGUCUUCACAGGACAUGAAAUAUUCCCUACUAACACCGUACCAGUCCGUUGUGGCAUAUUGCAGCCAUAACUAGAAGCACAAUUGAAGUUCAGUUUUAUUCCAGGAAUGUUUGUGCUAUUGUAUGCCAGCGAGAAGUGAGCAUUUAGAUUAGAAUUUUCAAAAUUAAUACUAUGUUAUUUUGAAAGACAUAAUAUCUGUAAAUGAGUUUUCAUCAAGGUCAACCUGUAUUUGUUGCACACCAAUUUUCAAUAAUAUUAUAAUUUCACAGUUGAAGCCUUGAAUCCAUGGGAUACUGCACCUGUCAUUAUCUGGAUAAUGCAUCCUGAUCCCAGUGCAGAGCAAAUUAGUUAUGCCUGAUGAAAAAACCAUUAACUUAGAUUAGGAUGUUAAAAAUCCUGUGGUACAGAUGGUGAAGGAAUUUCUUUACCAUUCGUACUUAGGGCUCCUCAAUAGCAAUCCCCUUAUCCAAAGCCUGUUCAUUUGUCAAGCUUUAUAUACCAUCUCCACCACUUUCCAUCCUAAACACAAAGUCACACUGCACAAAGACCGAAAGAGAGGCUUUAGAUAAAGUCAAGGAAAAUUGCAAAAAUUGCACUCAUCUCUUAACGUUUAUGGUAUUUACUUGUUCAUAAGUAUACUGGUUUUAGUAAGACACAUUUCCAAAUAAUUUGCAAUUCAGUGAUCAUUUGCAUAAAAUUAUUGGUUUGCAUGAGUUAAUUUAAGAACAGAAUUUGAAUGUCACUUGGAAAUAAAUUUGUUUAUUGCGCAAAUAAUAUAUUUGGAUUUUUCUGCACAGGGUGUGUUAAUUUUAUAUUGUUUCAUUUCCUUCCAAGCAUCCAGAGUUUUCAACAGGUGCACAUACAUCCUCUUGAGAAAGCGCUAGGUUAUGCUGGGUAAAAAUGUCAUUUAUUUUUGUUUUUAUUUUUUUUAAGAGUCACUGGCAUAUUAGAUUACUCCAGUGAUCUCAUCCGUCCACAUUCCACAUGCCAUUGCUUGUCUAAACAACAAGAUUCCUUUAACUAGGUUUCCAUCACAACAGCAAAAGCACCAUCUUCUUCCCAAAGUGCAAGAAGGAAUUAAUUUCUCUUCGUAUUGAGAUUAGAAUCACAAGUUACUUCUGUUUCCAGAAACCAAGAUCUGACUCGCUGGGGCUUUCUUUAACUCCAAAUUGCUUCCGCCCUUUGCGUUUCAAGGCAAGGCAUGGCUUAGCAUGAAGUAUUCUGUAAUGACUGAGGCACCUGGCCCCAUAUUUGUCAUUCUCUUGAGGUCAUCAGCCAGCUGUCUGUCCUCUCAACACUCAGCUUUGCCAAAACAGCCAGCGCAUUUUCUGCUGUGCUCAGGUUUCCAGGUCCGAAAUCCUCCAGAUAGAGCAAAUCAAUCAUCCCUCCACAGAAAUAACUGCAAGUAAGCAUUUUCGUAUCCUUGAGCAACAGCUCUGGUUGGCAAGGACACUGCACUCAGCCCUGAGCCAGGAUCCAUACAACACACUUGCACUGCAUGUGGGGAUACAUUAUACUUGACAACCACAGAGCUGUGGCUACAUUUAGGCCAUGACUAAAUCAGGUUUUGCAUGCACUUAACUGAGGGGAGAGGGGAGAGAGAAAGAGAAUGUAAUUAAACGUGAGGGACACUCUUAAUUUCCAUUAAACCCCUCUUGGCUGUUUGCCCUUAUACAACUGGAAUCUGAAGGCCUGGAUUUCUCAUCACAUCAGUAGUGCUUUUGCUACCCUACAGUCCAUUGUCUGUUUAAUGGAACGCUCGGGAAUAUGAGCAGUCACAGACACAAGAUAUUUGCAUUCAACAUUUUUCAAGCAAUCUUAUUAAUGUAACUGAGAACAGAAUGAAAAAGGGGAUUGCAGGGAAUUUUAGCUUGCAUUCUAUUGAAUUGACUGACUGAAACUUGUUUCAUUUUUAUUGAUUUGAAAGAUAAGUAUGACACUGAAAUGGAUUUAUUGAAGAACUGUUAAUGUAAUGUUAGAAUCAGAAUAUGGAGUCCUAAGUCAAAUUACCCCACCAUCUUUCAAUUUAUAUAUUUCAGAGAGUCGUUUGAAACAGCUCCUUCACUUACAGCUAAAUCUCUUUAACAGCAACAACAUAAUACUAUUACUGAUAAUAAGUAGCAGUACCCAGAAAUAAGGCAAUACUUAAGAACUAUAGUCCAUAAUGCAAUGCCAUAUUUGCCCCAAAAGCAGAAUGCAACAGUGUUGUCUGCAUAUCCACUUUAAGUCUAUGAACCAUCCCACUUGAAAGAAAUUGCCCUGUUCUAAUUUCUCAGCAAUGCAAGAUGCUUUAGAAUUUCAUAGUAUAGGUAAGUCCUCAACUUACAACCAUAAUGGAGCUGGUCCACUAUGGUUGCAAAUCAUGAGGAUCCUUAAGCUAGGCACUCACAUGAUUGCCUUGCUUAAUGUUCCCCAUCCGUUCUCCAUGAUGUAAUUCACAGGUGUCAAACUCACGAUGUCACAUGACAUUUUGCAGCGAAUCAUGACUUUUUUCCCAUUGCCGGCAAUGGGGUGGGCGCGGUUUUGGUAUGAUGCAUCCGGCCCGUGGGCUGGCAGUUUGAUACCCCGAUGUAAUUUAAGCCACCAUUCAGGUCAUUAAGCAAAGCAUGGGGUGCCUCAAGGGUGGGGAAGGCCUUGAGAGGCCUAGCACAGGCCCAGGCCUGCCUGCUCUGGGUAUCCUAAGGUCUUUCCCACCCCAAGGCACCCUGUGCUCCUCUUUCCACCCUUUGGGAUACCCACAGGCCUUGGGCCUGCUUCCCACCUCACUGGGUCCCACAUCCUCCUCCCCACACAUCACGGAUCACUCAUGUUCUGUAGAUCUCCAGAGCUUGCAUUGUGGAAGGAGAGCAGGCAGCUCCAUCCCUCCGCAUCCUUAUAAGUCACAAGGUGCUGUCCCAGAAGUGGGUGACAUUUUCAGAGUGGCCACACAUUGCAGCCACUCUGAAAAUGAUGCCUGCCUCCAGGAUGGCACCAUGCAGUCUGUUCUCCUUCUCCAACACAAGCUCCAAAGCUCAGAUCUACAGAAGAAUUGAUUCUGCAGUGGCAAACCAGUAAAACUAUUGAGAAGUGAUGAUCGCAACAGAGUUGAUUCAACUUGUGUGCCUGCAAAAUACUUCAGAAUAUUAUUCUGGACUUCACUACAAAAGAUUGUGUAAUUUAUCCAAGACUAUUUAACAACUUUUAAAUCUGUAAAAUGACAUUGUCUUGUGAGAGUGAGCCUUGUUUGGACCAGUAUCUUGCAAAAAAUUAUAGUGAAUAAACCCACACACCACUCAUCCAGUGAUGAGGUAGGUAAGGUUUUGCAGUUAGAGGCUGUUCUGUAAAGACAUAAUAUGGCUAUGCCCCAUCUAGACUUGACAAUGGUUAAUUUUAUUUCAUAACCAGCUUUUCCUAUUUCUUGUUAUUAUCCGCAAGCAUUAGUCCUAUCUCUCUUGAUACAGAUGCAUACAUAUACACAAAUGAUGCCACAUUUUUAAUAUAUAAUUACAUAAGUUGCUAUAUAAAUACACACACACAAACACAUUCAAUCAUGCACAAAAACAUAUGAGUCCCUUUUCCAAACUGUUUUAGUUUGGUAAGAUUAUGUUCCAUUUAUUUGAAUGCAGUAGUUUGCUUUGGAUUUAUAAUGUUUUUGUUCCCUUUAAAUUAAAAGUCAGUUGAUACUGAAACCCAGGAUAUAAAUACUGCAUGUUAGCGAUUUUCUUUUCAGGAUGGUGGAGAAUAAGUUAUUAGACAUCAUUAUGAAAAAGACUUUUGUGGGUAUGUAUGCAUAAAGAUUACUCAAAACAUACUAUAGAGUAAUGCGAAAUAUAUAAUUUAUUGUAAAAUGGUUGUAAUACAGGCCUUCUUAAAUACAGAAAGAAGAUCACAGGUUGCCUAAAUUUCACAAUUGCAAUGGAAAUGGCAGAUCUUGCAACCAUUUAUUCAUAUUAUAUUCCACAACUUCCUUAACUACUACAAUGAGGGUAGAGCAAAACUCGAAAACCUGAGUCUCAACCUGAAGCAGUUGUUUUCCUCCAAUAAAAACCCAUUUCAAAUAAAUACGAAAAAAAAAGUAAAGACGUUUUUUAAAAAUAUUUCACAAAGGAUAGGAGCCUGCAUGCUGGACAGGGUAAGAACAACAUAAGGCAAUUGCAUCUUUUCCUGAGUUCCUGAGACUCCAGAAAAAAACGUAUUUAACUAUAGUACCAGUUCCACUUGAUGCUAAUAAACAAAAGGACAAAAAUGGAAUAAAAUUGUCUCAUUCUCCCAUAUGUAGCAACCUACCACUAGUACAGGACAAAACUGGUUAACUGAAAAAUGUUAACCACUGCAAAGCAGAUAAAUGAGAAAGAAUGAGAAGUUCAUCAGUUGUCUUUUGAACCUAAUAAUAACAAAAAAAAAAAGUUAAAGGUGGGGGGAGGAAAAAAUGAAGAAAAGUAAAGCAGAAGGCAAAACAUUUUUAAGAAUCUCUUUCACUCACUCUCAACAAAGUCAACAAAAUCAGCAAAGCUUUCCUCUUAAUUAUAUAAAAGAAAUGCAUGUAUUUAUUUUUCCUCUUUGUCUUUCUUUCUGAACUUUCCAUAAAGUAGUUAAAAUAAAUAAAAUAACUACACUGUAUUCUCCCAGUUGUGCCUUGGCCUCAAGAACAGAGAAACAAAUCACCAAAAUACCCAUCUGUGAGACUGCAGAAAGGGAGAUAAGCAACAGAUACAUGUCAUCAAUUCUGCUGAAAGACUGAAGUGCUCUUCUUUCUGAAGUGUUUCCAUUUUAGUCGUCUCUUUUUGGAAUUGCAGUUUAUCAUUAAAAACUGGUGGCUGAUUGCUCCAUCUCCAAAUACUUUUUCCCGUUUAUGUCAUAUCAUUUAGAUUUGAAAGCCUGUAGGCAUUUGGUCCUGGAAUGAUAUAACUGAUAGUUUAUCAGUUUUAUCCUCACUAAUUCUAUUAAUUUAAAAAAUAGUUUCCAUAUAUCAGAUGAAAACCCUUAAAUGUAUUUGCUUCCUUCAGCGAGUUUUCUUUAGGGGAACACUGAAUUAUGUAGGGAAUUAUGGGAAAUGAUGGAAAGUGAACACCCAAAUCAUUUGAAUUAUGAUGAAGUUCAAUGUAACUCCUAGUGUGCUACAAUAAGAACAUAACAUAACACAACAUAAUACUCAUUGGACAACAUUAACUCUCAAAUACUCUGCAGAACAACUCCAUCUUGGCAGCUUUUUAAAAAGCUACCAGAGUUGGCCUCAGACUCACCUCUGGUGAGGAGGUUUACCACAUAAAAAGAGGUUAUCACAUAAAAAGGUGAGAUCAGAGAUCUCACCUUUCCUAGAUUGGAUUCCAAACCCCAUGGAAUCCAAGAAAACAGUCCAGAAGGUAGCUAGGAUCCAAUCCAAUUUGGAUUUUAAAAUUAACUCUCUGCAUUGUAUCUAUAAAUUUAUUUUAAACCAACAGUGCCUACAAUAGCGAUAUUAUAUAUUUGAAACUGUUUCUGCUGUGUAUGUCAGCAUGCAUUGUCUACCGGUAGUAACUGCAACUUCCAAGUUGUCUUCAAAAGCAGCCUCAUGAAAUAACUCUAUCUGGGUGCUAAUAAGGGCAUGAGUUACCAUCAUUAGUUCCUCUCUAUUUCUCAAAAGCAAAUCUUCAACAUGCCACUACAAUUGUCCUGUCUUUCUGGGAAAUUAGACAUUUCUCAUAUCAAAAGCCCUAAAAAGUUUUCCAAGAACAUCAGAUCUUCAAGAGAUGAUUUUGAAAGGCAUUCCCUCCACUUCAUUUUAUUCAACAUACUUCUUUACAUUCUGGUCCUGAACAUAUUUCUGAGUAGUGAGAAAAUAUAACUAUAUUGAGAAAAUAUAUCUUUAACAAACAUUGCACUCCAGCAUUGUGUAAGCUCUACAAUUCUCACACCACAAAAAAAGCUAUUCUAUAAUAAAAUAGUAUAAUUACAUUUCCUUCAGCGACCUUGUAAUCUCUGGAGUAUUUACUUUAGACUAAACAACUCUAUUCAGCUGCCCUGUGUCUGACUGUCAAUGAAAGAAGCUUGUUUGACAACUGCUUGGGGCAGAUUUUUUUUUUUUUUUUGGCCCAUGAUUACAUUAAAAAGAAGUUAGAGAAUA